AUAAUUUUUAAAAAUACAAAAAUCUAACCCCAGAUAAAUUAUUUUCCAUAUACAAUGUUUUUACAACCUCAAGAGACCUCAUUAAUAUUUUGUGUUGGUAAAAUAUUGAAAUGAUCACUUUGUUUUCUAGAUACAAGGUUACACGGCCUUGACUUCUCUUUGUGUCUGAAAAUGGCCUAGGAUUCCUCGUCCUUCUGACUCCUGAGUGAUGACAGAAGAUGGACAUUUCAUAGUGCAUGUGCCACUAUGUGUGUGUAGAUAGGAGGACAAUUAUAAGAAUAGAUCCUGUCUUUCCACUAUACGGGUCUUGGAGACCAAAUUCACAUUGUCAGGCUAAGCAUAGAGGAGAGUUAGGGUUUAAAAGAAGAAACCCUGUAUUGCCUAGACUGGCCUCAAACUCCUAGAUUCAAGCAUCCUUUUGUCUCAGCCUGCCAAGUAUCUGAGACCUCAGCCCUGCCAGGUACCUGAAAUGGCUCAGCUUAAAAGAAAGUUUUUGAUGCCAGCAAUAUGGACAUCUUCACCUAUUGCUGUUCUGACAACAUUAGGAGCCACACAACUGAAAGCACCAUGUUCCACAAGGUGACCACAGAGGUCCUGAGGUGGUCAUUCAGGGGACCUAAGGACACAAGGCCUCAGGAUCAGAAAGAAACAACACCAAGAAUAUAUAACAGUGUGUCAAUAAACAGCCAGACAGCCACCAAGGAGUAAAAGAACAGAAACAGGUUUCAGAAGAAAUACUGAACGUUUAAAAUGAACCCGACCAUACGAAAUUGCUAUUUUUACAAGUCAAGAGAGGCUGAGUAUUGGUGACUGAAGGUAGUUCAACAAAUUAGAUUCUGAAGCCAUAGAAUCAAAACCCGGAUACAUGUGUUACAUACGCGCAAAAUUUUCUUUCCCUCCUAGGGACAUCAACAUUCAUUUAUAGAAUCAUAGAUGUAUAUGGAUGAUAAACCGUAUGACAAUGAGCACAGAGAUGGAAACUCACACUCCAUCUAAUGUAUAUACUGAACACAUAUCAAUACACAUGAAUUUGUCACUCAUACAAGCAUAUUCUCACUAGUCUCCAAUAUACAUGGUCACACAUGUGGUAGUAAUUACCCUUCAUGGCAGCCAAAUCCCCCCCCCCACACACAUACACGGACACACACACACACACACCUGUCU
Meriones unguiculatus (Mongolian gerbil) is the source of this 1164-nucleotide long non-coding RNA. RefSeq lists it as uncharacterized. The transcript is spliced from 4 exons. The record is from RefSeq and is a predicted model, not a curated record. NCBI's taxonomy places the organism in Eukaryota, Metazoa, Chordata, Mammalia, Rodentia, Muridae.